UACGAAGGGGACUAGCGUUGUUCGGAAUCACUGGGCGUAAAGCGCACGUAGGCGGCUAUUCAAGUCGGGGGUGAAAGCCCGGGGCUCAACCCCGGAACUGCCCUCGAAACUAGGUAGCUAGAAUCUUGGAGAGGUCAGUGGAAUUCCGAAGUGUAGAGGUGAAAUUCGUAGAUAUUCGGAAGAACACCAGUGGCGAAGGCGACUGGACUGGACAAGUAUUGACGCUGAGGUGACGAAAGGCGUGGGGAGCAAACAGG
Molecule: ribosomal RNA, 257 nt
Filed under: uncultured bacterium
Lineage: Bacteria
Description: partial 16S ribosomal RNA
Rfam family: Bacterial small subunit ribosomal RNA
Source: RNAcentral